UCUGGGGUGUGGAAGGACACGGCAGGCUAGAGAUGGCGCUGCCUCGGCCUCCGGGACGGGGCGGGUCCCAUCGCUACUGCAGUGCCGACUUCACAGCGACCCCUGUCGCUGGUCUGGGCGUCCUCCCCUUGGUGAGGCCUGUGAUGGUUUUUAAGGUGUGGCUCCCCAGGACCGUGGCCACGCCUGUCACCCGCGCACUCAGGAAGCUGAGGCAGGAGGAUCCUGAGUUCCAGCCCAACUCGGGCAGUUUGCAGACUCAGAGUGACCUCAGGGCGAGGGCCUUGGGUUCAGCCCCCAGUGCUAUCCAAUCAGUGAGUCAGUCAACAAAUAGCCAAAGUGCUCGCUUCAUAUUUCCUAUGAUCUUAACCGGGCAAUCUGAGUGGUUCAGCGUUGAGCAGACACCACCCGUCUGGUUCUCGAACAUUCCCGGCACCCCACAGGCGUUUCCACACCUGCCCACCCCAGCGCCUCAGUGGUCUUCCUGUCCCGAGAUUUCACUCCACACGGUUCCCAUCGGUGCCCUUUCACACACGGGCCCUCUCGUGUCAUCAGGAGGGACGGGGCCCCCAAGUCCACAUCGACAAGCACCCCGUUGGGACAUGAGUGCAAGCUGGGCCCCUGCAGAGGGAGCCACAGGAGGAUCUGGAGGUGAGACCGUCCUGCGUCAGCCUCCUGACCGCAAUGGCAGCGUCCUCAGGAGACGGAGGAGGAGGUACAGACACAGAGGAGCAGCCGUGUGGAGACAGAGGCAGAGACUGAAGUGAUGGGGCCUCCGCCCAGGGCCACUUGGAGCCCUGGGAGGAAGCAGAGGCAGGAGGGUCUCUGCUGGAGCUGUAGAGGGAGCAUGGCCCGGGAUGCCUCAGUCUCAGCCUGCUGGGCUCCCAGGCUGGGGUGUGUGUGCGUGUGCGUGCACCGCGCCUGUGUCUGUGUGUUUGCAUGUGUGCCCGCCUGUCUCACAUACGAGUCUGAGUGUGGGUGUGUUUGCACACACAGGUAUGUGUGUUUUCACAGGUGUUCUUGUAUGUGUGGCCGUGUGAAUGUGUGUGCCUUGCACGCAUUUGUACACACGUGUCUGUGUGAGCCCGUGCAAGGCUGGGGCGAGCAGGAGGCUGAGUCAGGCCGAGCGGGCGCGGUCGGGAGGAAGCUGAGUGGCGGCCUGAGGACCGCACCGGAGCGGGCGCCGCCUCNNNNNNNNNNNNNNNNNNNNNNNNNNNNNNNNNNNNNNNNNNNNNNNNNNNNNNNNNNNNNNNNNNNNNNNNNNNNNNNNNNNNNNNNNNNNNNNNNNNNNNNNNNNNNNNNCCUGUGUCCGGGAAGGCGCGGGGAGGUGGAGGGAGAGGGGCCAGGACCUGCGGGGACGGGCUCCGGACCGGGGCAGCGGGGCAGCGGGGCAGCGGGGAGUUUUCCAGGGCAGGGCGGAGCCUCCCGGGGACCCUGUGAUCCCUCCAACCUUUGUCCCCGAGGCCGCUGCACAAGGCUUUGGGGUCUGAACCCUGCCGGUCCCCUCUGGAAUCACCCACCCCAGGCUCCCACGCCACUGUCCCAGGCCCUGGAUAGUCCUGGUCACCGUGGGGGCCAGUGGACCUCCCGAGGAAUAUCCUGGGAUGUGACAAGGCGGCAGCGCCUCAGGACCCUGGGAGGGGGAUGGAACAUUCUGGAACACAAGCCCUUGAUGUCCACGUCCUCCUGUGGAAAGUUCUGGAACGUGACAAGACGGCGGCCCCUCCUGGGAUCUGCGCUGUGUCCACUCGGGAGUCCCGAGUCCUUUCAGAGCCUCAGAUUCUGCACAGACCGGGGUGAAGAGGGUCAGCGGGUCAUUGUCUGUGUGACAGGCCCCGGGUACGUCGGCGGUGGUGACACCUCGGCAUCUGGGGUGUCCUCGCCCCCACAGGGUCCAGAGGCCAGUGGAUUCCCCACGGGAGGUGGGGCCUGGGGCCAGAGACCCCACACAUCGCCUCACCUGCCUGCACCCUGGACUGCGUCCCCGGGGGACAGAAGGUCUCCCAGGUCAGCUCGGAGCAGGAGCGAGCAGGUCAGAGCUGUGCCUCAGCAUGACCUCCUCGUCCACCCACCAGGGUCUCUGUAGGGCUGUGAGAGCAGCCGGCUCCUCCCAAGUGGUCGUGGGUGUGGGUCCGUGGGUAGCAAGGAUGAACACAAGCCCGGAACCGUGCCGUAUGCCAGACACUCGGGCCCACACACCUUGCAGCCCAGCACCUGGGAGGCUGAGGCAGGAAGAUCAUCACAAGUUUAGGUCCACUCGGGUGUGGUGUCUCCACGGAGUUUGGCUGCAAGAGGCAGCUUCCCUCGUGUGUCUGUGUCCUCCUGUCCUCUUCUUAGCGGGACCCACUAUUGUGGAUAGACGACAGAAUAAACAGAAUAUUACGUGGUCGUGAAAAGGAUCGGGUCUGACGCUGGCUACAGCAAGGGUGGGCCUUGAGUCCAUGGGGCUCAGGGAGAGAUGCUGGACACAGAAGGGCAUAGGGUGCGACGGUCCGGUGCUGCAAACUGCAGAAUAAGCAAAUCCAGAGACAGAGACAGGAAGUGGGCCGGGCGAACGCAGACAGAAAGAGGGACAGCAAAUCCAGAGACAGGAAGUGGGACAGCGAAUCCAGAGACAGGAAGUGGGACAGGGAAUCCAGAGAUAGGAAGUGAGCCGGGCGAGCCCAGAGACAGGAAGUGGGCCGGGCGAACGCAGAGACAGGAAGAGGGUGAAGGUUCCCAGGGCUGGGCAGGGGCAGAGACAGGCCGGAGGUGGUUUGUUGCUGAGUUGUCCGAUGUCACUGGGGAGCUUCACGGUAUGUGAAUCCUACUUUUAAUUUUGAAAAUUUCAAAUAAAAUAAAGGAAACAGAGAAAGGGAGUCAGAACGGCCUGCGCUGAGCUGGGCUCCUGGCGCGUUACCAGGGUGUCUCUGGUCUCUGUGGCUGCUGCGUGUGCGGCAGCAGCAGCAGCGGCGGUGGGGACCUCAGCUCAGCUUCCUCUGCCCACCUCGCUGCCUGGCUCGGAAGGGACGCCAGCGUCGUCACCCUUGGGGUUGUUUUCCUGGAUUUCCUCUGAAAGGAUUCCUGCUUGUUUAAACUUAAAACAGCAAGCCGGGCACGGUGGCGCACGCCUGACAUCCCAGCACUUGGGAAGCUGAGGCGGGAGGGUCGCUGUGAGUUUGAGGCCAGACCAAGCUACACAGUGAGUUCAAGGCCGGCCUGGACUAAAGAGUGAGCCCCUGCCUCUAAAAUAGGCAAAUAAAGAAAUUUAAAAAGGGCCAGGGAUGUAGCUCAGUGGUUCCGCCACCUGCCUCACAAGUGCAAGGUCCCAAGUUCGAUCCCCAGUACCAAAAAGAAAAAAAAAAAAAAAGGCAAGACUUUGAUACAAAGUCCAAGAGCAAAGACUCUUCUUUCCCUGUGCUGUCGGCUCUGGAUGCCGGUGGUGUUUCGCUGUGUUAUCAAUGCUGUUUUAAAUCCCCCGGGGGCUGAAAUGCAGCCUAGGCCAGCCCCAGUGGCUCUGGACUCAGAUCUGACAGCAGGUUUCAAACCUGUGGCAAAGUUCAGUUUCUGUCCACAGAGAAGCCUCAGAACCAACACCAGGGACUCUAUUUGCUGUCAGUAUUUUCAAAAUGUUUCUGCCGAUCUGGUAAAGAAUACUUUUGGGGUGGUGGUUCUGGGGGUUAACCUCAGGUCCUUGUGCUUGCAAAGCAGGCAGUGGCAGCACUGAGCUAAAUCCCUGGCCCUAUCUUUGUUUUUUUGAAACAGGUUCUCUCAACAUGGACCAGACUGGUCACCAUGGAGCUCAGGAUGCCUGGAACUCACAGAGAUCCUCCUGCCUCAGCCUCCUGAGUGCUGACAGUGUGUAGCAUGACUCCAGUUCCUGGUAAGGACGUUUCCUUGUAUUUCGGGCCACCCACAACACGAGCGUGGGAUCUGCUCAAGACCUUCACAUAAUUUCAUCUACAAAGAUAUCUUUGCCACACAAGGCCACACUCUCAGGAUUGAAUGUGCACACGUUGUCUGGGGCUGUACAGUGAGUUACACGGUGAGCCCCAGAUUCAUGGCACCCAGAACGUCACCCUGGGGCCUGAUUGGUAGCAGGGCCCCUGCAGAGGGAAUUAGAGGAGGAUUAGAGAUGAGACUGUCCUGUCUCAGCCUCCUGGAUUCAACGGCUGCGUCCUCAAGGGAGACAGAAAAGGAGGCACAGACACAGAGGAGCAGCCAUGUGGAGAUGGAGGCAGACUGAAGCAGGAGGGCCUCCCUGGGAAGAGGCAGAGGCAGAGGCAGGAGGGUCUCCCUGGAGCCUGUGGAGGGAGCGCAGCCCAGAACGCUCGUCUCAGCCUCCUGGUCUCCAGGAUGGAAAGGGCAGCUCCUGGGGCUUAUGCCCCCCGGCUGUGUCCUCUCCCACAGCACAGGGGGACUGGGCUUCAGAAAUCAGCCCACGAGGCCUGCUUGCCGUCUUCUCCUGACUUCACCCGCCUCCCUGCAAAAGUCUCCCCAACCCAGUGGACUUUGGCUUUUUGAGACAGACUCGCUGUGUACUUCACGCCUCCAACCUGUGGCACCCUCCUGCCUCAGCCUCCCUUUAAUCUCAGAGGCCCCACCUCCUCCUGGCAGCACCUGCAGUGUCCUCAGGCCUGGCUCUCUCUAGGCCGCCCAGGCAGGGUCCUGUCCUCCUGGGCCAGAGCUUGGCUUCCUGGGGCUGGGGCUGGAGGCCCAGGCAAACGCUUGGAGCCACUGCAGCCUCCGGGCCAUGUCCUGGGCUGCUCUGGAGAAGGCAGGAGUCCCUGCCUGUGCUGCUGCCGGGGACCCUGGACGUAUGGGGUGUGCAGGGGCAGCGUGGGCUGGGGUCCACUCGGGCGCUGGCUCCUCCCCACCUGCAGACCCCGAGACUCCGGGCGGUGUCCCGAAGCCGGGUCUUCCUUACCCUGCUGGGGGCCGGAGAGCCCGGGUCCUGCUCGUGAGACCCAGAGACGGAGAGCGAAGGGAAGAGACGUGGAGAGACAGGCGGAGGCCAGGCCCAGGGGCGCUGGGAGUGGCUGGGAAGGCGGAAGACGGACCCUAAGAUACAGGUGGUGCCAGGCCGAGAGUGGUACCGGAUCAGGCUGUGAAAGUCACAGUCAAUAACCACGGCGUAACACCCUGUUAACGUAACACGGGUGGGGUGGGGCACUGGGGGAGGCUGAGGCAGGAGGGUCUUCUCCAUGAGUUCAAAGCCAGCCUGGAAUACAGAGGGAGACCCUGUCAAACACGAAUGAACAGGACCCUACCCUGUGCUCCCGACUUUUCUUGCAAUCCGUGGGUAAUGCAACAAGAGACAAUUUUUUUUCAGUUUGGUACCGGGGAUGGAGCUCAGGACUGUGUGACGAAGUGAAUUUUGUCCCCGCAUAGGCCAGUAUUGUGCGGCCAAGUGGCCCUCAUUCCCAGAGACUUGAGAAGGAACUGAAGCCAGUCCCACGUGACCUUCCGCUUGUUCUGACUUUUCCGUACAUUUCCCACCCGUGAGUUCUGCAGCCCACAAUGUCAGGCCCUGGGUUCUGCAGGACUGAACGGGGCAAAACAGCGGGGAAGCAUCCCUGCGCUGUUUGUUUGUUUCCUUUUUGAGACAGGGUCUCACUGUGUAGCCUAGGUUGGUCUCCAACUCGUGAAGAUCCUCCUGCCUCAGCCUCCCAACUGCUGGGAAAGUGCCCAGAGCGUGGAUGAGGCCUGGCCUUGCUGUGUGCUGUUCCUGGCCUGUGCUGUGAGGAUUGCGAGGGGCGGUCUGCUUCCGAGCAGGGUGGGGGUGCACGGGUCCCUGGGCUUCUCCAGAAACCCAGUCAAGAGUCUGUGAGACCCAGCUGGGCACAGAGGCGACUCAUACCUGUCAGCUCAGCACUCAGGAGGCUGAGGUAAGGUGAUCACAGGUACCUCUGAGGUGCUCCUUGAAGCCCGGGCACAGGGACAGAGCGGCCAUGGGACGGGGUGGACGAGGGACAGGAUGGGCAGGUGGCCACCGCCCGCGUCAUGCCCGGAGAGCGGGUGACACGGCGGCCAGCAGGAGUGGGGUGAUGUCACAGGGAGCGCGGGAGGAGGAGGAGGCGCCAGUGACACCACAUCGGCGGACAGGGACAGUACGGUAGCCGCCCGGUGCCCAGAGGGAGGACACAGCGGUCACAUUGGAGCAGGGCCCUGGGGGGCUGAGACCGGGCUCCAAACACAGGCAUCUGGGGAAGAGCUGGGCGAGGUGGCCCUGGCUGCUCCUCUGUGUGCCGGGCCACAGCACGGGUGGGUGACCGGGGGGUGGGGGGCAGUGGGAGGGUGGCCCCGACCUGACCUCGGUCUUGUGGGGAGCAUGUGACGGGGACAAGAGCCACUCGUGCCAGAAGGACCCAGCCCUGGCCGCAACCCAAGCCUGGUGUCCCAACCACGGGGGAGAGGCUGUUUGCUCUGCGUGGGACCCAGGGUGACCCAGCCUAGAGCGGAUGCUGGGCACCCAGCAGGGGCCCCGUGGGGAUGGGCGCUGGCUGGCGCAGGCCCGUGUGUUCGUUCGUUUGUUCAGAUUUUCGGAGCCCAGGCUGGCUGGAAGUCACAGGAACCCUCCUGCCUCAGCCUCCCGAGUGUGGGCGGGUGGGCACGCCCCUCUGCGACUGGUGAGCCCGUGCUUUUAGUAAUUGUGGGAAUUAGAAGAAAAGCACAGAUCUACAGAGGAGACAGCUUUACUUGGGAAGUGAGCAGGGACAGGGCUACCCUGGUAUCACGGAGACCCCGAGAGCAGGCCCCAGUCUGCAAACCCGGUGCCUUCCUCCUCCUGGGCACCUGGGUCGGAGCAGCAGCCCACGUUGGUCUUGCUGCAGAAAUGAUUUCUGGCACUCGCUCGGGAGGCUGAGGCAGGAGGCUGCCUUCAGUUCCAGGCCAGCUACACAGUGAUAUCCAAUCCCCAAAAAGCAAAACAAGAAAGGAAGGAAGGGAGAGAGGGAGGGGAGGGGAGGCAGGCAGUGUGAAGAGCCCGCCUCCCGCCCCUCCUCCUCCCACCGC
This 6990-nucleotide long non-coding RNA is filed under the name Fukomys damarensis (Damara mole-rat). Its description in RNAcentral is "lncRNA (ENSFDAG00000028382.1)". Lineage: Eukaryota; Metazoa; Chordata; Mammalia; Rodentia; Bathyergidae. The record is from RNAcentral.